CUUGAGGGAGCCGAUCCACAGCGGGCGGUCGGCCGGACGUCCCUGGCCGUAGGUGGCGAGCAGGGCCUGGGCCUC
Molecule: antisense RNA, 75 nt
Filed under: Streptomyces sp. DSM 15324
Lineage: Bacteria; Bacillati; Actinomycetota; Actinomycetes; Kitasatosporales; Streptomycetaceae
Description: ASpks TB sRNA
Rfam family: ASpks TB sRNA
Source: Rfam by way of RNAcentral